GAUAGGAAGGAACGUGAUGGUUCCUCCGACAGGAGGAUGAAAAGGGAAGCCGGUGCGGCCAAACAGGUCAAAUCCGGCACUGCCCCCGCAACUGUGGACGGUUAUCUGUUCUGCCGGCAUGCCUCUUGUGGCGUGCGACCACUGGGCCUGGUCCCGGGAAGGUCUGGCAGGAGAGGAGGCGCUGAAUGCGUCUCGGCCGUGAGUCAGGAGACCUGCCAUCUGAGCCGAGUGUCA
This 234-nucleotide non-coding RNA is filed under the name Gluconobacter oxydans. Lineage: Bacteria; Pseudomonadati; Pseudomonadota; Alphaproteobacteria; Acetobacterales; Acetobacteraceae. The record is from RNAcentral.